AUGUGGUUUAAUUCGAUGCAACGCGAAAACCUUACCCACCUUUGACAUGUUACGGAAUCCUUUAGUAGAGUAGAGGAGUGCUCGAAAGAGACCGUAACACAGGUGCUGCAUGGCUGUCGUCAGCUCGUGUCGUGAGAUGUUGGGUUAAGUCCCGCAACGAGCGCAACCCUUGUCAUUAGUUGCUACAUUCAGUUGGGCACUCUAAUGAGACUGCCGGUGACAAACCGGAGGAAGGUGGGGAUGACGUCAAGUCCUCAUGGCCCUUAUAGGUGGGGCUACACACGUCAUACAAUGGAUGGUACAAAGGGUCGCCAACCCGCGAGGGGGAGCCAAUCCCAUAAAGCCAUUCGUAGUCCGGAUCGCAGUCUGCAACUCGACUGCGUGAAGUCGGAAUCGCUAGUAAUCGUGGAUCAGAAUGUCACGGUGAAUACGUUCCCGGGUCUU
This 444-nucleotide ribosomal RNA is filed under the name uncultured Acidovorax sp. RNAcentral's name for it is "bacterial SSU rRNA". It matches the Rfam family "Bacterial small subunit ribosomal RNA", at positions 939 to 1382 of the family's 1533-position model. The record is from RNAcentral. Lineage: Bacteria; Pseudomonadati; Pseudomonadota; Betaproteobacteria; Burkholderiales; Comamonadaceae.